Small nuclear RNA from Alexandromys fortis (reed vole), 107 nucleotides. NCBI's taxonomy places the organism in Eukaryota, Metazoa, Chordata, Mammalia, Rodentia, Cricetidae. The record is from RefSeq and is a predicted model, not a curated record.
GUUCUUGCUUCGGCAGCACAUACACUAAAAUUGGAACGAUACAGAGAAGAUUAACAUGGCCGCCAUGCAAGGAUGACACGCAAAUUCAUGGUUUUUUGCAGUCUACA